This 253-nucleotide ribosomal RNA is filed under the name uncultured bacterium. RNAcentral's name for it is "partial 16S ribosomal RNA". It matches the Rfam family "Bacterial small subunit ribosomal RNA", at positions 524 to 776 of the family's 1533-position model. The record is from RNAcentral.
UACGUAGGGGGCAAGCGUUAUCCGGAUUUACUGGGUGUAAAGGGAGCGUAGCCGGCGAAGCAAGUCUGAAGUGAAAACCCAGGGCUCAACCCUGGGACUGCUUUGGAAACUGUUUUGCUAGAGUGUCGGAGAGGUAAGUGGAAUUCCUAGUGUAGCGGUGAAAUGCGUAGAUAUUAGGAGGAACACCAGUGGCGAAGGCGGCUUACUGGACGAUAACUGACGUUGAGGCUCGAAAGCGUGGGGAGCAAACAGG